Molecule: ribosomal RNA, 777 nt
Filed under: Lixus sp. BHJ-2011
Lineage: Eukaryota; Metazoa; Arthropoda; Insecta; Coleoptera; Curculionidae
Description: eukaryotic LSU rRNA
Rfam family: Eukaryotic large subunit ribosomal RNA
Source: RNAcentral
GUUUAGGGGUAAACCUGAGAAACCCGAAAGGUCGAAGGAAGAAAUUCAUUCGCGUUUCGCCGCGGGCGUCGAGCGGGAUCGUGUGACGGGGAGCGUUCGCGCGUUUCCCGCGCCUCCCGUUCUUCGAACCGGUGACGAACGCGUGCACUUUUCUUCUGGUAGGACGUCGCGAUCCGUUGGGUGUCGGUCUACGGCACGCGGUGGAGCCCGUUCGUCGUAUUUCUAGUACGUACGGAUGGACCCGCGUGUUCCGGCCGACUCGCUCGACGGUAUACGAAAGGUUUAAGGCCGCUCUCGGAGCGUUCGGCUCGUGGCAAGCGCGCCAGAUGCGUCGGCGAUCGGACCUAGUGCCGUUUCUGACCUCUGGUGACUGUUGGCCGCGAAGUUCUCGAACAGACCUUAAGACCGAUCAGCGACGCUAUAGCUUUGGGUACUUUCAGGACCCGUCUUGAAACACGGACCAAGGAGUCUAGCAUGUGCGCGAGUCAUUGGGAAUCACUAAACCUAAAGGCGCAAUGAAAGUAAAAGUCUUCCUCGCGAAGACUCAGGGAAGACGGGCGGUUACGUUCGCGCGUCACCGUCCAGCACUCCCGGGGCGUCUCCAUCUCAUCGCGAGAAGAGGCGCACCAAGAGCGUACACGCUGGGACCCGAAAGAUGGUGAACUAUGCCUGGUCAGGACGAAGUCAGGGGAAACCCUGAUGGAGGUCCGUAGCGAUUCUGACGUGCAAAUCGAUCGUCGGAACUGGGUAUAGGGGCGAAAGACUAAUCGAACCAUC